UAGGGAAUCUUCGGCAAUGGGGGCAACCCUGACCGAGCAACGCCGCGUGAGUGAAGAAGGUUUUCGGAUCGUAAAGCUCUGUUGUAAGUCAAGAACGGGUGUGAGAGUGGAAAGUUCACACUGUGACGGUAGCUUACCAGAAAGGGACGGCUAACUACGUGCCAGCAGCCGCGGUAAUACGUAGGUCCCGAGCGUUGUCCGGAUUUAUUGGGCGUAAAGCGAGCGCAGGCGGUUUGAUAAGUCUGAAGUUAAAGGCUGUGGCUCAACCAUAGUUCGCUUUGGAAACUGCCAAACUUGAGUGCAGAAGGGGAGAGUGGAAUUCCAUGUGUAGCGGUGAAAUGCGUAGAUAUAUGGAGGAACACCGGUGCGAAAGCGGCUCUCUGGUCUGUAACUGACGCUGAGGCUCGAAAGCGUGGGGAGCGAACAGGAUUAGAUACCCUGGUAGUCCACGCCGUAAACGAUGAGUGCUAGGUGUUGGAUCCUUUCCGGGAUUCAGUGCCGCAGCUAACGCAUUAAGCACUCCGCCUGGGGGAGUACGACCGCAAGGUUGAAAC
Molecule: ribosomal RNA, 554 nt
Filed under: uncultured bacterium
Lineage: Bacteria
Description: partial 16S ribosomal RNA
Rfam family: Bacterial small subunit ribosomal RNA
Source: RNAcentral